Non-coding RNA from Sus scrofa (pig), 701 nucleotides. The record is from RefSeq and is a predicted model, not a curated record. Lineage: Eukaryota; Metazoa; Chordata; Mammalia; Artiodactyla; Suidae.
GGCAGAGCUGGUGGUCCGGCUCGCAGGAAGCCAUGUGCUACCUAACCUGCUCCGUAGUGGCUCCUUGGUGUCAGAGGAGACAAGAGGAGCAACAGAGAAGACGAAGAAGCACUGCUAAGAGACCUGCCCAUCUGACUCUCUGGGCUCCUUCUGAGCAGCCAGCCUGAUUUGGAGGCCUUGGAGUGGAGUGUGAGAGGAUAUAGAAAAGGACAACACCAGGGGCAUUUCACUCACAAGGAACUUCCGUACUGAACUUUUUGAGUAAACUCUUCCUUUUUUGUUAAUCCCUUUUCCAGCAAUAGGAGAAUCGUGGUGGUGGAAUAUGGAUAGAUUUCUUUUGAUUUAUUCUUGUUUGGGUUGAGUUUUGCUGCAGGCAUUCCAGUGUAUGCAGUAAUUUUAAAUAAGAUAAGGGCUUAACAGAAAUGCCUGAGAAUUUGACCACACCUGAGGGUGAACCUGUGGACUGCUGGUUCUGGGACUGUCCGCCACUUUCUAGCCUUUUUGAUGUUGAGGCUAGUCUCCUAACUUCUCUGGGUCCCAGUAUACCCCUCAACCCCUCCCCCAGUAAUCACACUUGGGUAUCUUAUGAGAUUAGGGCAAACUAAAGCCCUUUUGUAAGUCUAAAGCUCCAUACAGUUGUGUUGAACAUUUUGGAAACAAAGAUGUUAUGACUGCCGUGAUUCAAUAACAGAGCCAUCUUU